GAUGAACGCUGGCGGCAGGCUUAACACAUGCAAGUCGAACGCCCCGCAAGGGGAGUGGCAGACGGGUGAGUAACGCGUGGGAACGUACCUUUCAGUUCGGAAUAACUCAGGGAAACUUGUGCUAAUACCGGAUACGUCCGUAAGGAGAAAGAUUUAUCGCUGAAAGAUCGGCCCGCGUUGGAUUAGCUAGUUGGUGGGGUAAAGGCCUACCAAGGCGACGAUCCAUAGCUGGUCUGAGAGGAUGAUCAGCCACAUUGGGACUGAGACACGGCCCAAACUCCUACGGGAGGCAGCAGUGGGGAAUAUUGGAAAUGGGGGCAACCCUGAUCCAGCCAUGCCGCGUGAGUGAUGAAGGCCUUAGGGUUGUAAAGCUCUUUCACCGGGGAAGAUAAUGACGGUACCCGGAGAAGAAGCCCCGGCUAACUUCGUGCCAGCCGCCGCAGUAA
Molecule: ribosomal RNA, 446 nt
Filed under: uncultured bacterium
Lineage: Bacteria
Description: partial 16S ribosomal RNA
Rfam family: Bacterial small subunit ribosomal RNA
Source: RNAcentral